AGGUAAGGAAACCCCAGGGGGAAUUGCCCUAGUAACGGCGAGUGAAGCGGCAACAGCUCAAAUUUGAAAGCUGGCCUUCGGGUAAAGCAUUGUAAUUUGUAGAGGAUGCUUUGGGGCAUCCGCCUGUCUAAGUUCCUUGGAACAGGACGUCAUAGAGGGUGAGAAUCCCGUAUGUGACAGGACAUGGCACCCUAUGUAAAGCUCCUUCGACGAGUCGAGUUGUUUGGGAAUGCAGCUCUAAAUGGGAGGUAAAUUUCUUCUAAAGCUAAAUAUUGGCGAGAGACCGAUAGCGCACAAGUAGAGUGAUCGAAAGAUGAAAAGCACUUUGGAAAGAGAGUUAAAAAGCACGUGAAAUUGUUGAAAGGGAAGCGCUUGCAAUCAGACUUGUUCAAACCGUUCGGCCGGUCUUCUGACCGGUUUACUCGGUUUGGACAGGCCAGCAUCAGUUUCGGCGGCCGGAUAAAGGCUCUGGGAAUGUGGCCUCCACUUCGGUGGAGGUGUUAUAGCCCGGGGUGUAAUACGGCCAGCCGGGACUGAGGUCCGCGCUUCGGCUAGGAUGCUGGCGUAAUGGUUGUAAGCGACCCGUCUUGAAACACGGACCA
This 602-nucleotide ribosomal RNA is filed under the name Aureobasidium sp. RBF-4A3. RNAcentral's name for it is "eukaryotic LSU rRNA". It matches the Rfam family "Eukaryotic large subunit ribosomal RNA", at positions 54 to 668 of the family's 3401-position model. The record is from RNAcentral. Lineage: Eukaryota; Fungi; Ascomycota; Dothideomycetes; Dothideales; Saccotheciaceae.